CAUAUCAAUAAGCGGAGGAAAAGAAACUAACAAGGAUUCCCCUAGUAACUGCGAGUGAAGCGGGAAAAGCUCAAAUUUAAAAUCUGGCAGUCUUUGGCUGUCCGAGUUGUAAUCUAGAGAAGUGAUGCCCGCGCUGGACCGUGUACAAGUCUCCUGGAAUGGAGCGUCAUAGAGGGUGAGAAUCCCGUCUCUGACACGGACUACCAGGGCUUUGUGGUAUGCUCUCAAAGAGUCGAGUUGUUUGGGAAUGCAGCUCUAAAUGGGUGGUAAAUUCCAUCUAAAGCUAAAUAUUGGCGAGAGACCGAUAGCGAACAAGUACCGUGAGGGAAAGAUGAAAAGAACUUUGGAAAGAGAGUUAAACAGUACGUGAAAUUGCUGAAAGGGAAACGCUUGAAGUCAGUCGCGUUAGCUAGAACUCAGCCUCGCUCUUGCGUGGUGUACUUUCUGGUUGACGGGUCAGCAUCAAUUUUGACUGCUGGAAAAAGGCCUUGGGAAUGUGGCAGCUUCGGCUGUGUUAUAGCCCUUGGUCACAUACAGCGGUUGGGAUUGAGGAACUCAGCACGCCGCAAGGCCGGGUUUCGACCACGUUCGUGCUUAGGAUGCUGGCAUAAUGGCUUUAAGCGACCCGUCUUGAAACACGGACCAAGGAGUCUAACAUGCCUGCGAGUGUUUGGGUGGUAAACCCGAGCGCGUAAUGAAAGUGAAAGUUGAGAUCCCUGUCGUGGGGAGCAUCGACGCCCGGACUUGAACUUUUGUGACGGAUCCGCGGUAGAGCAUGUAUGUUGGGACCCGAAAGAUGGUGAACUAUGCCUGAAUAGGGUGAAGCCAGAGGAAACUCUGGUGGAGGCUCGUAGCGAUUCUGACGUGCAAAUCGAUCGUCAAAUUUGGGUAUAGGGGCGAAAGACUAAUCGAACCAUC
RNAcentral lists this ribosomal RNA (918 nucleotides) under Lycoperdon sp. RJF-2020a. RNAcentral's name for it is "partial large subunit ribosomal RNA". It matches the Rfam family "Eukaryotic large subunit ribosomal RNA", at positions 39 to 944 of the family's 3401-position model. The record is from RNAcentral. Lineage: Eukaryota; Fungi; Basidiomycota; Agaricomycetes; Agaricales; Lycoperdaceae.